CUGCGGCGCCGCCCCCCGCCCCGGGCGCUGAAGGCGCGGGGGGCGGGGCCGGCGCGGGGCGGGGCCGGCGCGGGGGGCGGGGCGUCGCGCCGGAGCCAGGGGUCGAGGGGUUGGAAGGCAGCGAGGGAGGCGCGGGGCCGUUCUAGAGCGUUGCGCGGGCGGAGCGGGGCCGGCCCCCGAGCCUCGAGCAUCUAGGGCUUGGCUUUGCCAGCCGAAAGCUUGCUUGGACCCCCCGGGGACCCUAGGACAUCAGAGGCCGGGGCCUGGCACGGGGCAGACAGGAAGCUGGUGCCUGGAAGCUGGCUUCUCUUUCCGCACGACCUUGGGGCGAGGCACCUCCUUCUGCAGCUCCGGGGUUGUAUUUUGAUAACAUUUCCCCGCGGCGGCUGAGCUGCUCAGGAGGCGCGACCACGCUCCGUCCAUCCCAGAGCCGGAGGAGUUACGAUCCGAGAGUCGGAAACCGGGGCCCGAGAGAGGGCGGAGGCGACUGGUUCGAGGCUGCACAGGUGACCCCGCCCUCUGAGGCCGCCGGCAGCCUCAGUUUCCCUGUCCUUGGUGCUGAGGACGCCGGGGCCCAGAGGCUCCCGGCCCACGGGGCCGCCACCGCCGCGCGGAACCCUGACCAAAGAUGUGAAGACUGAGUCCUGCAGAGACUGCCUGCUGCAGCUGAGGUCCCGUGGCUAAGAUGAGAGACAAGGGUAGGCCUGCAUCCUGGCUCCUUUGUUGAAGGGUAUGACUUCCCAGAGGACAGAACACUUCCCUCCCCAGCAGCCAAACUAAGUCCUGAAUGUAGCUCUAAUUAGCUCAUCCUUGGCUUGGCCACUCAGAGCCGACCCUGGCAAGGCCACCAGGCAGAGACUGAAGAAGCUUCGCAGGUCGUGAUGCUAACAUAAUAGGUUUUACACAAAAAAGGACUAAUUCUGCCAUAGAAGUAGGGGAAGCCUCGCCAGGGGCUGUUUGAGCAAGGCUUUGAAAGGUUGAGAAGGCAUUUACUGGGCAGUCCACUUUCCAGAGUGAUCUGUGAGAAUGUGUAAUGAAGAUGUGGUCCAGCAUGCAGUAGGUGCUCAGGAAAAGUACGGGACCUAUCACUGUCCACAGGGAGAACCCCAGAGUGGUAAAUACGGCCAUGACCCUUGAGCUGGUAACCCCAGUCCCAAGACCUUCUCCCAAGAAGUCAUCCAAAGCAAAAAGCCCCAUGCAUCAUACUGAGCACUGUCUCGCCAUCUGUGGUUGGAGAAAGCUGGAAGUAAUGUUCGUCCAGCACCCAGACCAGGCUAUAAAAGAUGCUGGGCCCCAUGUUGGUGUAUCAGACAAGAGUUAAACGUGGCCAGGUUGAAGGUGGUAGGAAGGGUUCAUUUUCCACAUACUUAUUGAGUAACUUCAAUGUGCCAAUCAUUGGCAGUACCGGACAGCGAGGAGAACAGCUCUGCCUGGCUCCGAUUCCAAUCCAGAAUAGCAACACUGUCCACCCCACUGUCACCCAGUCCCUCUCCCCUCAU
Molecule: long non-coding RNA, 1499 nt
Organism: Lutra lutra (Eurasian river otter)
Lineage: Eukaryota; Metazoa; Chordata; Mammalia; Carnivora; Mustelidae
Exons: 2
Source: RefSeq, a predicted model, not a curated record